Molecule: non-coding RNA, 963 nt
Organism: Pantherophis guttatus
Lineage: Eukaryota; Metazoa; Chordata; Lepidosauria; Squamata; Colubridae
Source: RefSeq, a predicted model, not a curated record
UGGGUGGGUUGGUUGCAUCACCCACUGCUUUCCUCCUGGAGCUGCCGAGCAGGUUUUAGGCCAAGCUGGCUGUCUCAAUCAGAUGGGACCGAGACUCGAAGAAGUAGGAAGGUACAAUUUACCAAGCCAAGCCGGAGAACGGGACCGACUGGUGAAGCGAGAAACAAGACAACGAAAGCAGCUCCAGAGCAGCUCAUCACCACUAUGCCUACUCGCCUCCUUGGCCACAGCUUCAGGCCUCAUUGGUCACAAACGUUUGGGGACUGGAGAAAACAGCACCAAUCAGGAGUAAAUUUGUACAGAGAGUAAGACCUGGAAGAAACACCAGCUACUUUUGAAGAAAUAAUCUUAGUUGGGAACCGAGGUGCAAACUGAACUGUCCAUUGUUGAGGUGAACUACUCUUGACUGUUUCACUGAUUUGUUCUGAUGAUCAGAUUGAAAACUUGAUAUAUCAAGCUAUAUGUUCUCAAUUCUUCGUAUGAAUACGAUUCAACGUAUAAAUACAAAGCAAGAAUAAAGAAGAGAAAAGCUGGAAGAGAGAAAGAAAGAGUCAAUAUUAUAAGGAGCAGGCAUUCAACGAUUUAAAAAUAGACCUCGUGAGGCAAGUUGAAGCCAAAGAAAUCAUCAUUUUCCAAGUGUGACUUUCCCAAAAAAAAAAAAAAAAAAGUCCUCAGAAAGACCUCAAUAAGAGCGAUGAUGGCAAACCAACUUCUCUGAAGGCUAUCUAUUUUCCCCUAAAGAGCGCAACUGAGGAUAACCCGGAGCAUAUUUUGAGAUCCCAUCUCAAUUCACGGAAGUGAGAAUGAGUUGCAGACUGCAGUUCCUCUUGGAAUCACCCACCGCGUACGGGGAGAUGAGAAAUUCCACGGUGGGCCACUAUAGAACAUGGUUUAUCCCGUUCCUCAAAAGUUUUGGGACACUUUCUGGGUUGUCCCAAUCAAAAGAAAGAUACAGAAAAUAAA